UUAAACUACACAAGAGAAUGGUUCUUGCUAAGCUUGUUUCCUUCUUCAUUCUUCUUCUUCUUCUUUGUCUGUUUGGAUAUGGGAAUUCUGUUGGAAAGUUGUGCGUCGAUGAAGUGACUGCCCUUAACGCGGUGAUAUAUAAAUUGGGGUUGGUGCCGGCAUCAACCAUUUCAAUCUAUUAUUGUGCGCAGUAUUCUGGUCGCCGUGGUUUCAGUAUUUACAUUGAAUGCAACUGCAACGAAACAACUUGUCACAUCACACGAAUAAGGACGGACAGCAUAGAUUUGAGUGGUGGAGGUAUCCAUGAAAGUAUAUCUAAACUCAAGCACCUGAAGUGGCUAGAUCUUGGAAGCAAUCAAUUGUCUGGUUCCAUACCAGCUGCCAUAGGAGACUUGCCACAUCUAGAAACACUCAAUUUGUACAAGAACUUACUCACAGGCCCAAUACCUCCAUCUUUAGGGAAAUUGUCAUCCCUCAAAGAGCUUAAAUUGUACAGGAACAUGCUGUCAAAUGAAAUCCCUAAACAAUUGAGCAACCUCUCUAAGCUGGAGACAUUGAGAUUGGAACAAAAUCAGCUCAGCGGUCAUAUUCCACCGGAGCUUGGAAAAUUAUUAAGCCUUAAGCAACUGAGAUUGGAUGAGAAUCAA
RNAcentral lists this unclassified non-coding RNA (647 nucleotides) under Hevea brasiliensis (rubber tree). The record is from RNAcentral. Lineage: Eukaryota; Viridiplantae; Streptophyta; Magnoliopsida; Malpighiales; Euphorbiaceae.